Molecule: ribosomal RNA, 336 nt
Filed under: uncultured Polymyxa
Lineage: Eukaryota; Endomyxa; Phytomyxea; Plasmodiophorida; Plasmodiophoridae
Description: SSU rRNA
Rfam family: Eukaryotic small subunit ribosomal RNA (bases 116-336)
Source: RNAcentral
GACUUGUGUGCGCCGGAUGCGGCGAUCUGCGGCCAAAAGGUCGUUGCGAUCAGCCCGUCCUGGCGCCGUAAAAUUUGCAACUGAGUCGCCUCUGGUCUUAAUUGGUCGGUGGCGUCUGCUCGGUUGCUCGUUUACUGUGAGAAAAUUAGAGUGUUCAAGGCAGGCAUAAUUGCAAUUGAAUAUGUUAGCAUGGAAUAAUAAGAUAAGGCUUCUGCUUUAUUUUUUUGGUUUCUAGAGUGGAAGUAAUGAUUGAUAGGGAUAGUUGGGGGUGCUAGUAUUCAGCGGCCAGAGGUGAAAUUCAUGGAUUCGCUGAAGACUAACUUAUGCGAAAGCAUU